Molecule: ribosomal RNA, 699 nt
Filed under: uncultured bacterium
Lineage: Bacteria
Description: bacterial SSU rRNA
Rfam family: Bacterial small subunit ribosomal RNA
Source: RNAcentral
AGAGUUUGAUCCUGGCUCAGAACGAACGCUGGCGGCGUGCUUAAGACAUGCAAGUCGAACGGUAAGGCUUUUCACUCUUCGGAGUGACGAGUACACGAGUGGCGCACGGGUGAGUAACGCGUGGGUAAUCUGCCCUCAGGUUUGGGACAACUCCGGGAAACUGGAGCUAAUACCGAAUAAGACCACGAGGUCCCUGGACUUUGUGGAAAAAGGUGGCCUCUUCUUGAAAGCUAUCGCCUGUUGAUGAGCCCGCGUCCCAUUAGCUUGUUGGUGAGGUAAAAGCUCACCAAGGCAUCGAUGGGUAGCUGGUCUGAGAGGAUGAUCAGCCACACUGGAACUGAGACACGGUCCAGACUCCUACGGGAGGCAGCAGUCGGGAAUCUUGCACAAUGGACGAAAGUCUGAUGCAGCAACGCCGCGUGAGGGAUGAAGGCCCUCGGGUCGUAAACCUCUGUCGGAAGGGAAGAAAGUAUUUUGGGCUAAUACCCCAGAGUAUCGACGGUACCUUCAAAGGAAGCGCCGGCUAACUACGUGCCAGCAGCCGCGGUAAUACGUAGGGCGCGAGCGUUAUUCGGAAUCAUUGGGCGUAAAGCGCGUGUAGGCGGCUGGGUAAGUCGGAUGUGAAAGCCCGGGGCUCAACCCCGGAAUUGCAUACGAAACUGCUCAGCUAGAGUCUCGGAGAGGAGGGCGGAAUUCCCG